CCUACGGGGGGCUGCAGUGGGGAAUAUUGGGCAAUGGGCGCAAGCCUGACCCAGCAACGCCGCGUGAAGGAAGAAGGCUUUCGGGUUGUAAACUUCUUUUAAGAGGGAAGAGCGGAAGACGGUACCUCUUGAAUAAGCCACGGCUAACUACGUGCCAGCAGCCGCGGUAAUACGUAGGUGGCAACCGUUGUCCGGAUUUACUGGGCGGAAAGGGCGGGCAGCCGGGAAGACAAGUCAGUUGUGAAAUCCCGCGGCUCAACCGGGGAACUGCAUUUGAAACUGUUUUUCUUGAGUAUCUGAGAGGUCAUCGGAAUUCCUGGUGUAGCGGUGAAAUGCGUAGAUAUAAGGAAGAACACCAGUGGCGAAGGCGGAUGACUGGACGGCAACUGACGGUGAGGCGCGAAAGCGUGGGGAGCAAACAGGAUUAGAUACCCGGGUAGUC
Molecule: ribosomal RNA, 442 nt
Filed under: uncultured bacterium
Lineage: Bacteria
Description: partial 16S ribosomal RNA
Rfam family: Bacterial small subunit ribosomal RNA
Source: RNAcentral